This 507-nucleotide ribosomal RNA is filed under the name uncultured bacterium. RNAcentral describes it as "bacterial SSU rRNA". It matches the Rfam family "Bacterial small subunit ribosomal RNA", at positions 1 to 527 of the family's 1533-position model. The record is from RNAcentral.
UAGAGUUUGAUCCUGGCUCAGAACGAACGUUGGCGGUGUGCCUAAUACAUGCAAGUCGAGCGAGAAAACCGGGGCAACUCGGUGAGUACAGCGGCGGAAGGGUGCGUAAUACAUGGUUAACGUACCCCCCAGAUCGGGAUAACCCUCCGAAAGGUGGGCUAAUACCGGGUAAUGGCAGCGGGUGGCAUCAUUUGCUGCUUAAAGUCGUAAGACGCUGGGGGAGCGGACCAUGGCCUAUCAGCUAGUUGGCGGGGUAACGGCCCACCAAGGCGAUGACGGGUAGCCGGACUGAGAGGUUGAAUGGCCACACGGGAACUGAGACACGGUCCCGACAUCUACGGAUGGCAGCAGUAGGGAAUCUUGCACAAUGGGCGAAAGCCUGAUGCAGCGACACCGCGUGGGGGAUGAAGGCCUUCGGGUUGUAAACCCCUUUCAUGAGGGAAGAAUACUGACCUAACCUCAGGAAGAAGCACCGGCUAACUCCGUGCCAGCCGCCGCGGUAAUUCA